CGUGCUCGGGAAUUCAGAAAGAAAAUGCUGAAAAUUAUCAACAGGUCAGGGUGCAUCUGUGAUUGAAAACGCUUCUCCAGAACUGCGGAAGGGAGAAAACAAGUUGCAGAGGAGCUGGGGAAGAGAUGUGCAGGACAAGAGGAAUACUGUAUCGGAUAGUCCGCUGGAAAAACUCAGCAGAUCUUGAAUGAAUCAAGGCAUAAUCAGCCUCUGGGGAUUACUGAAGAACAAGGAGGAACACAGUAAGAGAAAAAGAUAUCAAAGGCAAAUUCAGACCAGUGACCAACAGCGCACAGGAUGACUCCACAGAAUUUACU
This is a long non-coding RNA of Mobula hypostoma (lesser devil ray), 317 nucleotides long. RefSeq lists it as uncharacterized. Lineage: Eukaryota; Metazoa; Chordata; Chondrichthyes; Myliobatiformes; Myliobatidae. The transcript is spliced from 3 exons. The record is from RefSeq and is a predicted model, not a curated record.